This 678-nucleotide long non-coding RNA is filed under the name Homo sapiens (human). RNAcentral describes it as "non-protein coding NDUFV2-AS1:18". Lineage: Eukaryota; Metazoa; Chordata; Mammalia; Primates; Hominidae. The record is from RNAcentral.
AGUGUCACCGCCUCCCCGCCGCAGACACUAUCCGACAAAGGAGGGGGAAUCAAAGGCUGGGCGAAGAGGCAGGGCAGGCGCCGGUGACGCUGCUGGGCAAGCGGGCUCUGCAGUAGCAUUUGUGGCGACCGUGGCAGUGGCUGUGACUGGAAGCUUCUGGAAAUGGCGGCGAUGAGGACCCCCACAUAGGGAUGGCCAUAGCAGCCACAAAAGGAAGCAAACAAGAACAAGUCCUGAUGGAGCAAUUUAUGAAGACAGGCAGCAUAGAGGGAGAAGAACCUGUCUGUCAACCCCACACACGCUUUCCCAGACGUCUCCUGAAAGCUGAGCAUUUGUUAUCUUAAAGCCUCUUACCAGUUUGGAUAGAUAUGGAUCUUCCAAAAUUAAUGAGCUCCUUAAUAUCGACACUGUUUAUCAACAUAAAGGAUCAAUUUAGGAAGAUUAUAAAAACUGAAGUUUCCGGAACAAUAAAUGGGAGAAUUAAUCUUCUGAAUCAAGGACGUAUCCCUGAAUCUGGGGAGCUCUCUAUCAAAAUAUACAUGCUGGAACCCUACCAAAGGAAUAAUAAAUCUGGAAUGAGGCUCUGACUGUCUAAUUAGGAAAAGACUCCUUCCUGGAAUUCUGCACAUCUCCCUACACCUUAGUGACGGUUAAAUAAAUAAUUAUUAAGCUUCUGGA